This 424-nucleotide ribosomal RNA is filed under the name uncultured bacterium. RNAcentral describes it as "bacterial SSU rRNA". It matches the Rfam family "Bacterial small subunit ribosomal RNA", at positions 356 to 772 of the family's 1533-position model. The record is from RNAcentral.
GGGGAAUCUUGCGCAAUGCGCGAAAGCGUGACGCAGCAACGCCGCGUGAGGGAAGACGGCCUUCGGGUUGUAAACCUCUUUCAGUUGGGACGAAGCCUUGGCGGUUAAUACCCGCUUGAGGUGACGGUACAUUCAGAAGAAGCCCCGGCUAACUACGUGCCAGCAGCCGCGGUAAUACGUAGGGGGCAAGCGUUGUCCGGAAUCAUUGGGCGUAAAGCGCGUGUAGGCGGCUUGGUAAGUCCGCUCUGAAAGCCCGGGGCUCAACCCCGGGAGGCGGGUGGAUACUGUCAAGCUCGAGUCCGGAAGAGGCGAGUGGAAUUCCUGGUGUAGCGGUGAAAUGCGCAGAUAUCAGGAGGAACACCAAUGGCGAAGGCAGCUCGCUGGGACGUGACUGACGCUGAGACGCGAAAGCGUGGGGAGCAAA